This 244-nucleotide ribosomal RNA is filed under the name uncultured Actinomycetales bacterium. RNAcentral's name for it is "partial 16S ribosomal RNA". It matches the Rfam family "Bacterial small subunit ribosomal RNA", at positions 88 to 334 of the family's 1533-position model. The record is from RNAcentral. Lineage: Bacteria; Bacillati; Actinomycetota; Actinomycetes; Actinomycetales.
UACUCGAGUGGCGAACGGGUGAGUAACACGUGGGUGAUCUGCCCUGCACUUCGGGAUAAGCUUGGGAAACUGGGUCUAAUACCGGAUAGGAACCAUACUUUAGUGUGGUGGUUGGAAAGUUUUUUCGGUGUAGGAUGAGCUCGCGGCCUAUCAGCUUGUUGGUGGGGUAAUGGCCUACCAAGGCGGCGACGGGUAGCCGGCCUGAGAGGGUGUACGGCCACAUUGGGACUGAGAUACGGCCCAG